AUGGCCGCCAAGGGCGGCGGCGGCGGCGGGGUGGGGACGCUCAAGUCGACCUCCAUCAACGGCGUCAAGCUCUACUCCGUCACCGGCAAGAACUACGUCGCCCCAUGGGUCCUCGCCAAGAAGAAGCGCUCCCUCCGCAAGGACGCAGAGUACCAGCGCCGGCUGGAGCUGAUCCAUGACCUCAGGUUCGAGACCGCCACCACCAGGAUCAAGGUCACCCCCGACGGCCAGUACGUCAUCGCCUCAGGUAUUUACCCCCCACAAAUGAAAGUCUUUGAGUUGAAGGAAUUGUCAAUGAAGUUUGAGAGGCACAUGAUCUCAGAAAUUAUUGAUUUCGAGGUCCUUGGUGAUGACUACUCAAAACUUGCGUUCCUGUGUGCUGAUCGUUCUGUAUGCUUGCAUGCGAAGUACGGAAGCCAUUAUAGCGUGAGAAUUCCAAGAAUGGGAAGGGACUUGGCCUAUGAUUGCUGGUCUUGCGACUUGCUAUGUGCUGCUUCGUCAUCAGAUCUGUAUAGAAUCAACUUAGAGCAGGGAAGGUUCCUCGCAUCCCUUUCUUCCCAAUCUCCGGCAAUAAAUGUGGUUACACGGAGUAUGAUACAUGGGCUUGUUGCUUGUGGUGGUGAGGACGGUGCGGUUGAAUGCUUUGAUAUGAGGAGGAAGUCUUCUGUUGGCAGAAUUAAUACAGCUUCUUCUUCUGAAGAUGUUGACCAGGAGGUCACGUCUUUGCAGUUCGAUGAAAAUCAAGGGUACCUUCUUGCAGUAGGGAGCAGCGUAGGAAAGGUAUCUAUAUAUGAUAUACGCAUGUCUUCGCCUCUGCGAGUCAAGGAUCACAUGUAUGGCAGUCCAAUUUUGAAUAUCAAGUGGCACCAGACACUUAAUUCUUCGGAACCUAAACUGAUAACUGCUGAUAAGCAUAUAGUGAGAGUUUGGGAUCCUAAUACAGGAAACAACAUGACUAGCAUUGAACCUGAUAAUGGCUCUAUCAAUGAUGUUUGCAUCUUCCCGAAUAGUGGUUUAAUGCUAUUAGCCCUGGACAACAGCCAGAUACCUGCCCACUUCAUUCCUGCACUUGGCCCUGCUCCAAAGUGGUGCUCACAUCUUGAUAACUUAACUGAGGAGAUGGAAGAGAAACAAGAAAACACAUUAUAUGAUGAUUACAAGUUUUUGACUGAAGAAGAGAUGGAACGAUUGGGCCUCUCUGAGUACAAAAACAGUGAUGCUGUCAGAGCACAUUUACAUGGAUACGUGAUACGCUACGAUCUAUAUAAGAAGCAACGGGCUAAACUUCAUAUUGCUGAUUAUGAGACUCUUCAAAAUGACAUGAAGGCCAAGAAACUAGCAGACCUAAGGAAAUCUCGUAUAACGCAAGUUGUUAAAAUACCAAAGGCUAACCGGCAACUUUUGGACGAUAUACGGACAGCGGAAGAGGAAAUAGAUGCUGAUGUGGAGAAUGCUAGUAAAUCAAGCAUCAGGAAGAAGAAAAUGAAACUAGAUAUGAAAAAGGCAUUGUUGACUGAUCCGCGUUUCCAAAAAAUGUUUGAAAAUAAGGAUUAUGAAAUUGAUGUAAGUUCAAGAGAAUAUCAAGCAAUCCAUCCUCAACUGGCUACAAAGGAACCUCAUCUAAUCGAGGAACAUUUCGAGAGUGUUAGUGAAGACGAAGAAGAACAAGAUGCUGAUUCAUCUGAUGCGUCAGCGGAGUCUGACAGUGACAAUGACACGCAUAAUUCAAAGCGUAUAAGGUUGUAUGAAGUGAAGGAUGGACGCCAUGCCGAGGCAUUUUUGAACAGUGUCUCCCUUGGCAAUGAGGAAGCUGUGCCCAUUGGGGACAGGGUAGCCGCACUCGAAAGGAAACAGAACUCGCGUGCACUCGACAAGGUGAAGUACGGGCCCGGUGGCUCACGGGAGAUCUCCUUCAACCCUAGGAGCUCAAGAAGGCGCACCGAAGAAGACGAGCACAGCGAAGAAGAGCAGAAAGACUACAAGAGGAGAAGCGUGCAGUCCCUGGGGUUGAAGCAGAACAAAGCCGAGUUCUAUUUAUUCGGCGGACGUGGAGGCAGAGGAGGCGGGGGUGGUCGCGGCAGGGGANNNNNNNNNNNNNNNNNNNNNNNNNNNNNNNNNNNNNNNGGCAGGGGAGGUGGAGGCAGAGGUGGAGGUGGUGGUGAUUUUGGGGGCGGAAGUGAAUUUGGAGGCAGAGGUGGUGGUAGGGGCGGUGGCAGAGGCAGGGGCAGGGGUAUGAGUAGGGGUAGGGGAGGGGGCAGGAGCAGAGGAAGGGGUAGGGACUGA
This 2283-nucleotide ribosomal RNA is filed under the name Triticum aestivum (bread wheat). Its description in RNAcentral is "partial small subunit ribosomal RNA". The record is from RNAcentral. Lineage: Eukaryota; Viridiplantae; Streptophyta; Magnoliopsida; Poales; Poaceae.